RNAcentral lists this microRNA precursor (103 nucleotides) under Marmota monax (woodchuck). Lineage: Eukaryota; Metazoa; Chordata; Mammalia; Rodentia; Sciuridae. The record is from RNAcentral.
AGUGGAAUAGCUGGGUCAAAUGGUUGUUCUAUUCCAAGUUUUCUAAGGAAUCUCCAUACUACUUUCCAGAUUGGGUGUACCAAUUUGUAGUCCCACCAGCAAU